This 73-nucleotide transfer RNA is filed under the name Streptomyces antarcticus. RNAcentral's name for it is "tRNA-Asn". It matches the Rfam family "tRNA". From Rfam's summary of the family: Transfer RNA (tRNA) molecules are approximately 80 nucleotides in length. The record is from RNAcentral. Lineage: Bacteria; Bacillati; Actinomycetota; Actinomycetes; Kitasatosporales; Streptomycetaceae.
UGACACGUAGCUCAACGGGUAGAGCAGCGGACUGUUAAUCCGCAAGGUGCAGGUUCGAAUCCUGCCGUGCCAG